ACUUAAGCAUAUCAAUA
This 17-nucleotide ribosomal RNA is filed under the name Pleosporales sp. MUT 2179. RNAcentral's name for it is "partial 28S ribosomal RNA". The record is from RNAcentral. Lineage: Eukaryota; Fungi; Ascomycota; Dothideomycetes; Pleosporales.